RNAcentral lists this ribosomal RNA (153 nucleotides) under Monascostroma sp. Its description in RNAcentral is "partial large subunit ribosomal RNA". It matches the Rfam family "Eukaryotic large subunit ribosomal RNA", at positions 99 to 255 of the family's 3401-position model. Lineage: Eukaryota; Fungi; Ascomycota; Dothideomycetes; Pleosporales. The record is from RNAcentral.
CGGCAACAGCUCAAAUUUGAAAUCGGACGCCCGUCCGAGUUGUAAUUUGGAGAGGAUGCCUCGAGGCAGCGGCCGGUCCAAGUCCCUUGGAACGGGGCGUCGCAGAGGGUGAGAGCCCCGUACGCGACCGGCUGGCACCUCAGACGUGGCUCC